AAAAAAAAAUUCUUCUUUAUAAUUCUUUCUUUCGAAAAUUAAAAAAAAAAUCAAAAUCCAAAAAAAAUAGAGUUAGUUUAUUUACUUUAUUCCUGAUUUUCCUGAACUACGCAAGAUCUGAUUCAUGUUCCCACAUGAUACGUAGGCAACCUACAUCGGGUUCAAUCGAAUUAUUUUUAAAAUUAAAAGAAAAAAAAGAAGAAAAAAAAAGAAGAAAAAAAAAUGAAGUUGUGAGACGAGGGGAAAGAAAAGAAUGAUAAUCUGAAAGAAAAAGAGAUGAAAGAAAAUGAGCAAACCAAGGAGUGUAAAGAGGAAAGAGAAGAGGGAGGCUAGAACAAGCAAAUUGGGACGAUGCCCUAUGACUUUCGUACCCUCGAAGUCAUUUUAGAACUGUUAACUGUGAUUAGGUACAUUGCACAUAAUGUGAGAUUAUCUUAUGUUAAAUGCCCUAUCUCUAACGUGAUGACUUCACUUUGUUCCUCUUUGUUGCUUCAUUAUAGCAGAAGGGUGGUUGGUUUGUGGUUCUUAAACUGGUAACUCUUCCUUACAACAUAAAGUCGAAAGGCAAUGGCAGACGACAACGAAAUUGAGUUAGUUGAUACUGGUGCCCAAAAGAAAUUGGUUGAACAAGAUACUGGGUUGGUUGAAGAGGUAAGGAUGUUAAGACAACACAUGGCGGACAUGUAUCAGGCUUGGAUGACUGGGAAAGCACCACCCCCGCCACCACCUAGCUUCCUAGAUGCACCCUCACCCAAGCCCACCUGGAGAAUGAGGGAAUUUAUUUCAAAUUUUAAAUCAUCACGCGCCCACCUGGAGAACGAGGAAAUUUAUUUCAAGUUUUAAGUCAUCAGGCGCCCACCUGGAGAACAAGGAAAUUUAUUUCAAGUUUUAAGUCAUCAGGCGCCCACCGGAGAACGAGGGAAUAUAUUUCAAGUUUUAAGUCAUCAGGAGCACACCUGGAGAACGAGGGAAUUCAUUUCAAGUUUAAGUCAGUCGCAGGCACCCACCUGGAGAAUGUGGAAAUUCAUUUCAAGUUCAAGGCAUUAGCAGGCACCCACCUGGAGAAUGAGGGAAUUCAUUUUAAGUUUCUAGUCAUUAGCAGGCGCCCACCUGGAGAACGAGGAAAUUUAUUUUAAGUUUUUAGUCAUCAAGCACCCACCUUGAGAACGAGGGAAUUCAUUUCAAGUUUUAAGUCAUCAGGUGCCCACCUAGAGAACGAGGGAAUUUAUUUCAAAUUUUAAAUCAUCACGCGC
This 1253-nucleotide long non-coding RNA is filed under the name Nicotiana tabacum (common tobacco). RNAcentral's name for it is "long non-coding RNA (NTAB_LNC015170)". Lineage: Eukaryota; Viridiplantae; Streptophyta; Magnoliopsida; Solanales; Solanaceae. The record is from RNAcentral.